CACUCUCCCUGUCUCUGUGUCUCUCCCUCCCCCGCACCUCUCUGAUUCAGAGGGGUUGGGUUAAAUGCACAAUACAUAUUUCGGUUGAAUACAUUCAGUUGCGCAACUGACUAUAUAUAUACAGUGGUGGAAAAUAAGUAUUUGGUCACCUACAAACAAGCAAGAUUUCUGGCUCUCACAGUCCUGUAACUUCUUCUUUAAGAGGCUCCUCUGUCCUCCACUCGUUACCUGUAUUAAUGGCACCUGUUUGAACUUGUUUUCAGUAUAAAAGACACCUGUCCACAACCUCAAACAGUCACACUCCAAACUCCACUAUGGCCAAGACCAUAGAGCUGUCAAAGGACACCAGAAACAAAAUUGUAGACCUGCACCAGGCUGGGAAGACUGAAUCUGCAAUAGGUAAGCAGCUUGGUUUGAAGAAAUCAACUGUGUGAGCAAUUAUUAGGAAAUGGAAGACAUACAAGACCACUGAUAAACUCCCUCGAUCUGGGGCUCCACGCAAGAUCUCACCCCGUGGGGUCAAAAUGAUCACAAGAACGGUGAGCAAAAAUCUGCCUGCUCCUCCUCUCCGUCCCAGGACCCCGGCUCUAGGUGCUGCUCUGCUCUUCCUCUCCGUCCCAGGACCCCGGCUCUAGGUGCUGCCUGCUCCUCCUCUCCGUCCCAGGACCCCGGCUCUAGGUGCUGCCUGCUCCUCCUCUCCGUCCCAGGACCCCGGCUCUAGGUGCUGCCUGCUCCUCCUCUUCGUCCCAGGACCCCGGCUCUAGGUGCUGCCUGCUCCUCCUCUCCGUCCCAGGACCCCGGCUCUAGGUCCUGUCUGCUCCUCCUCUCCCUCCCAGGAACCCGGCUCUAGGUCCUGUCUGCUCCUCCUCUCCGUCCCAGGACCCCGGCUCUAGGUCCUGUCUGCUCCUCCUCUCCCUCCAGGAACCCGGCUCUAGGUCCUGUCUGCUCCUCCUCUCCCUCCCAGGACCCCGGCACUAGGUCCUGUCUGCUCCUCCUCUCCCUCCAGGAACCCGGCUCUAGGUCCUGUCUGCUCCUCCUCUCCCUCCAGGAACCCGGCUCUAGGUGGUUUUCAGGGUUCUCCCCUCUGCCUUGGCCAGGAGACAGUAGACUUAGUGGCUGCUGGUAAUCAGAGCUUGUUACUGGGACAUUGUUACAGUGUUUGUCUGUUUGUGUGUCUGUGUCUGAGUCUGUGUGUGUGUGUCUGUGGGUGUGUGUCUGUGUGUUAAUGGCGCUCCGCUUGGCGUGGCUCGUGGCCCAACGGUUGACAUUGAACCAUGUAAUUGAGUUAGCCAAGGCUGCCCAUCCUCAUCACCUAGCUGUGUAUAUAUGUGAUCAGCUGCCCAUAACCCUAGCAGUACAAGGCUCUCAUUUGUCAUUUCCCUCAUUACUGACAGAACGUGUGUGUGUGUGUGUGUGUCAGAGCGAGAGAGUAUGAGCGUGUGUGUGUGUGUGUGUGUGGCAGAGCGAGAGAGUAUGAGCGUGUGUGUGUGUGUGUGUGUGUGUGUGUGGCAGAGCGAGAGAGUAUGAGCCUGUGUGUGUGUGUGUGUGUGUGGGAGAGCGAGAGAGUAUGAGCGUGUGUGUGUGUGUGUGUGGCAGAGUGAGAGAGUAUGAGCAUGUGUGUGUGUGUAUGUGUGUGUGUGUGUGUGUGUGUGGCAGAGCGAGAGAGUAUGAGCGUGUGUUUUUGUGUGUGUGUGUGCAUAUUGGAAGUGCAGAUCUCCC
This is a long non-coding RNA of Oncorhynchus tshawytscha (Chinook salmon), 1719 nucleotides long. The record is from Ensembl. NCBI's taxonomy places the organism in Eukaryota, Metazoa, Chordata, Actinopteri, Salmoniformes, Salmonidae.